AUGGCCGCCGCCGCCGUCCUCCUUCGCGCCGCCCUCCGCCGGAGCCGCCCCGCCGCGGCAGCCCUCCUCCCCCCCCGUACCCUUCCUUCCCCGCCAGUUCCGCUACCUCCCCCUCCUCUCGGUAAGAUUCCGCUCCCCUCCCAAACCAAACCCUUGAACCCUCCUCGUCUCACCGUCCAGCUCCCCGAUGCAGCCUGUGCUUUACCUCUCCUCCCGCGCCUUCCAUUCGCCGCCGGCUUCCCGUACUCCACCGUUGCAGAGAUAUCGGAGGCCCCCGCGAAGCCCAAGGGCAAGCCAAAGAGGAGCCCAAUGAAGCAGUCCCGCGUCGACUUCACCAAGGUGGACGCGGCGCUUCUCCCCACCAUCAUCCUCGUCGGCCGCCCCAACGUCGGCAAGUCCGCGCUCUUCAACAGAUUAAUACGGAGGAGGGAGGCAUUGGUGUAUAAUACACCUGGAGACCAUGUCACCCGCGACAUCCGAGAAGGAGUUGCCAAGCUUGGAGAUCUCCGUUUUCGCGUGCUUGACUCAGCCGGACUUGAGACUGCAGCAACAUCUGGGAGCAUUCUUGCUCGGACGGUUGAUAUGACAGGGAAUGUGUUGGUCAGAUCUCAAUUUGCCAUUUUCUUGAUUGAUGUGAGGGAUGGUCUACAACCGUUGGAUCUUGAGGUCGGGCAAUGGCUGCGAAAACAUGCAUCUGGUAUACAUACCAUUGUUGCAAUGAAUAAGUCCGAGUCACUUGAUGAGCAUGGAGUUUUGACCUCGGCUGCUGGAGAAGCCCACAGGUUGGGUUUUGGUGACCCAGUUGCAAUAUCUGCAGAGACAGGCCUUGGGAUGGCAGAGCUUUAUGAGACACUCAGGCCAUUGUUUGAGGAAUACAUGUUUCAACUUCCAAAUAAUGGACUAAAUGAAGAUGACCCUACCUCCGAGGCUGAGGCCAAUGAAGGUGAUGAAAGCAAGUUACCUCUGCAGUUAGCAAUUGUGGGACGUCCUAAUGUUGGGAAGUCGACCCUGCUUAAUGCCUUAUUGCAAGAACAAAGAGUUCUGGUUGGUCCAGAGUCAGGCUUAACAAGGGACUCCAUCCGGGCUAAGUUUCAAUUUGACAACAGAACUGUAUAUUUGGUGGAUACUGCUGGUUGGAUGGAAAGAGCGGGAAAGGAGAAAGGGCCAUCAUCACUAAGUGUGGUACAAUCAAGAAAGAACCUGAUGAGAGCUCAUAUUGUAGCUCUUGUGCUUGAUGCAGAGAAGAUCGCAAAGUCAAAGAAUAGCGUGGAUCAUCAGGAAGUUAUGAUAGCACGGCAAGCAAUCGAAGAAGGCCGUGGACUUGUUGUGGUUGUCAACAAAAUGGAUCUCCUUAGAGAAAACCAACGAUUAUUAGAAAAAGUGAUGGAUGCUGUUCCUAAAGAAAUCCAGACAGUUAUUCCUCAGGUUACAGGAAUACCAGUUGUGUUCGUGUCAGCAAUGGAGGGCAGGGGGCGGGUUGCUGUUAUGCACCAUGUUAUAGAAACUUAUGAGAAAUGGUGUUUUAGAUUGUCAACUUCGCGCCUGAACCGUUGGUUGCGUAAGGUUAUGAGUAGACAUUCAUGGAAAGAUUCAGCCACACAGCCAAAAGUGAAGUAUUUCACUCAGGUGAAAGCGCGGCCACCAACAUUUGUCGCCUUUAUGAGUGGGAAGACUGAGCUAUCUGAUACAGAUAUCAGGUUCUUGACAAGAUCUCUCAAGGAAGAUUUCAACAUCGGGGGAAUACCAAUCCGGAUCCUACAGCGUUCUAUUCCAAGAAAAGUGUCGUCUUUCAAGAGUAAUAUCAAGAAAAGAGGAUCUAGUAUAAAAAGGAUGAAAACAGACAAAAGAACAGAAGUGUCUGAUCCCACUCAGUCAUGCUUUUACGAUGUCACAAAAGCACCUCCCGAUUCUCAUAAAGGACCUGGUAUUUGUGUACCGUUCAGAAGGGAAGUCAUUAGUCAUGACGUACAUACUUCCGUUGGAGUUAAAGAUGCAGAGGAAAUCCCUGUCAUUAUACAGACUAUCAGAGGAAACAGAAAGCUGCCGCCUUCCAAGCACAGCAUGUGGACAGAAGAAAGGGGGGCUGAAGUGAUCAACAUUUAA
RNAcentral lists this ribosomal RNA (2103 nucleotides) under Triticum aestivum (bread wheat). RNAcentral's name for it is "partial small subunit ribosomal RNA". The record is from RNAcentral. Lineage: Eukaryota; Viridiplantae; Streptophyta; Magnoliopsida; Poales; Poaceae.